This 87-nucleotide non-coding RNA is filed under the name marine eukaryotic metagenome. RNAcentral describes it as "Glycine riboswitch". It matches the Rfam family "Glycine riboswitch aptamer". Rfam says of the family: This family represents the bacterial glycine riboswitch. Glycine riboswitches usually consist of two metabolite-binding aptamers domains with similar structures in tandem. The record is from RNAcentral.
ACUCUGCGGGAGAGACGGUAACCGACUAGCACCGUCGCCGAAGGAGCAACAGCCCCGGAAACUCUCAGGCAACCGAACCGCAGGGGG